This 87-nucleotide non-coding RNA is filed under the name Massilia sp. Leaf139. RNAcentral describes it as "Glycine riboswitch aptamer". It matches the Rfam family "Glycine riboswitch aptamer". From Rfam's summary of the family: This family represents the bacterial glycine riboswitch. Glycine riboswitches usually consist of two metabolite-binding aptamers domains with similar structures in tandem. RNAcentral also lists the same sequence under 1 other name. Lineage: Bacteria; Pseudomonadati; Pseudomonadota; Betaproteobacteria; Burkholderiales; Oxalobacteraceae. The record is from Rfam by way of RNAcentral.
CAGUCUUGACCGGGAGAGCGCCGCUACGCGUGGCCGCCGAAGGGGCAUCACCCAAAAACUCUCAGGCAAAAGGACCGGUCAGGGGUC